This 88-nucleotide transfer RNA is filed under the name Thermoprotei archaeon. Its description in RNAcentral is "tRNA-Leu". It matches the Rfam family "tRNA". From Rfam's summary of the family: Transfer RNA (tRNA) molecules are approximately 80 nucleotides in length. Their secondary structure includes four short double-helical elements and three loops (D, anti-codon, and T loops). RNAcentral also lists the same sequence under 1 other name. The record is from RNAcentral. Lineage: Archaea; Thermoproteati; Thermoproteota; Thermoprotei.
GCGGGGGUGCCCGAGCUAGGUCAAAGGGGGCGGACUUAAGAUCCGCUGGCGAAGGCCUGCGUGGGUUCAAAUCCCACCCCCCGCACCA